ACCAGCUGAUGAGUUUUAAAUAGGACGAAACGCGUUUCAUGGAU
RNAcentral lists this non-coding RNA (44 nucleotides) under Schistosoma margrebowiei. Lineage: Eukaryota; Metazoa; Platyhelminthes; Trematoda; Strigeidida; Schistosomatidae. The record is from RNAcentral.